UACGAAGGACCCGAGCGUUAUCCGGAUUUAUUGGGUUUAAAGGGUGCGUAGGCGGAUUUAUAAGUCAGUGGUGAAAGCCUAUAGCUUAACUAUAGAAUUGCCAUUGAUACUGUAGGUCUUGAGUACAGUUGAGGUGGGCGGAAUGUGCAGUGUAGCGGUGAAAUGCUUAGAUAUUGCACAGAACACCAAUUGCGAAGGCAGCUCGCUAAGCUGUAACUGACGCUGAGGCACGAAAGUGUGGGUAGCAAACGGG
RNAcentral lists this ribosomal RNA (253 nucleotides) under uncultured bacterium. Its description in RNAcentral is "partial 16S ribosomal RNA". It matches the Rfam family "Bacterial small subunit ribosomal RNA", at positions 524 to 776 of the family's 1533-position model. The record is from RNAcentral.